RNAcentral lists this long non-coding RNA (220 nucleotides) under Elaeis guineensis (African oil palm). Its description in RNAcentral is "long non-coding RNA (EGUI_LNC055723)". The record is from RNAcentral. Lineage: Eukaryota; Viridiplantae; Streptophyta; Magnoliopsida; Arecales; Arecaceae.
ACCAUUGAGCUCCAUCUUGGGGAACCAUCAGGUGGCUUAUGACCAGAUUCAGAGUAUUCUCCUUUCAAUGGACAUCGAAUAGUUAGAGGGUCAAAGUUUGGGCAUCCAGCAGAGGGAUGCCAUUUAUUCUUUUAUUUGGGUAAGUUUCUCUGAACCCUUUUCUUUUUCAUAUCUUUAGCAGCUAACUUGCUUGUUUUUGUAGCUCACUCACUACAUCACC